This 17787-nucleotide long non-coding RNA is filed under the name Mytilus galloprovincialis (Mediterranean mussel). The stretch from base 3085 to 3129 matches the Rfam family "Histone 3' UTR stem-loop". The record is from RNAcentral. Lineage: Eukaryota; Metazoa; Mollusca; Bivalvia; Mytilida; Mytilidae.
GAAAAAACGGAAAUCAGGUACCCGAAAAACGUGUUGAAUAUUCAUAUGUGUACAAAUUUAUUGAUUAGGUAAGAAAACAUAUUCAAAUACAUUACUAAACAAAAAUCUAACCAAACAGUUUGGGCUGCGAGAGUAUCGAUCAACCUAUCGAACCGGUUCUUAUUACAGAUUCAAAAAGUUUUUGUCUUUGUGUUGACUUUUUGGAUUCCAGGUGUUCGAAGUAUAUUUCGCCGUUUAUCUGUUACAAGCUUGAUAUAACAUUUUAAAAAAAGAAUCACACAAACAUAUUCUGACUUCUACUUAUAAUAUUUAUGCAACAAAACAUUCUGAGAAGUCCAAAAAUAAAUAUGCAACUUUGUUUACAAAUUUUCACCUGAAGCCGCCAUGUUUGAUUUCGAACUUACAGGUUGAGUAACUAAUUACUAAGCACAUCAGCUAAUGACAUAAGCACUAGUCAUUUGCUGUGCAGGUAUACACAAGACUAUCUUUAAUCUACCACAAACUGUAUGUAUUUUUUGUUCCAGCAUUAUAAUUUUAAGUUAAAGACGAUGUAUUUUAUAGGGGAGAAGUAAAUAGUGAAAUUAUCUCCCUUACUUACUCAGAAUAUUUUUUUCAUAAUGAAUACAGAUCUUCAUUUUUCAAUAGUUAGACCACACAAAAUUAAUACAGCAAAAGCACAGGCACUUGUCUCUGAGAAAGAAAUCCAUCAACUUUAUUAUAUUACAUGUACAAUGCACUUGGCUUACAUUUUUGGAAAUGACAAAUGGUUUUCAGUUUUCCUUCAUAUUUUGAUUUUGGUAAACGGACAGAAAGUCACAGGACAUAAAGUCACAAAUUUGAUAGGACAAAAAGUCAUAAAUAUUUUUUUGACAAUUGUUUGGAUAUAUAUAAGAGAAAUAUCUUGAAAUAUUUACUUUUUAAUACAUAUAUUCAUAUUAAGUUAAUGAAAUUUAUCAUUUUACUUGAAAAAGGAAGAUUUAUUUAGUUUUAAUCAUGCAAAGGACAUAUUUCUUGGCACCAUGAAGCCAUUUAAGUGCCAAUAUAUUUUGACAUUUUACAUUCUUUGACAUUUUUUGAUACAUUUUGCUUACAAAGUUGGUUAAUAUACCAUACUUCAAGAAAAAUACAAAAAUGUUUUUGUAAGAAUAAGCAUUUUUUAUUCAAAGAAAAUAAUCAGAAAAAAUGAAUUGUGACUUUUUGUCCGUGACUUUUUGUCCUGUGACUUUCUGUCCUACAUUCUUUGAUUAUACAGUUCAAGCAAUUGUCUAUACCACUUGAACUUAUUAUCCCAUAAAUCUACAUUGAAUUAUCUACAAAAGGGUGUAUAACAUACUUAUUCUAUGAUAGGAAUCAUUCUUGAUAGGUCAUCCAAGUACAUGUAUGUCAACCUUAAUUAUUUUGUUGAAAUCACAGUCCUAAUUUUGGAGGCCUUCUACAAGUGAUUCAGACCUCAAAAGAAGACGUUAAUGUUUCAUUCACGAUUUUGUAGCUAAAUCGAUGUACAGUUUAGUGGGGUAAUUAAGUGAGGAAUCACAAUAUACUGAAAGCUCACUUCAAAAUACUAAUUGUAUUUUUUUUUUAAAUGCAUGUUUAUAAGUAUUUUGAGUGGAACAGUACAUGUAUAUAGAAAAUAAGAAAUUCUGAGAUAAGUGCCUUUGAGAAUAAGGUGCCAUGUCCCUCUCAAUCAAUUCGUCCCGAAUGAACAUUAAAUAAUUUGCCACUGCAAGGAAGUUGAGCAAAGUUUGAUACCAAUUUUUUAGUGUAACAAAAAAACUAACAUGAUUCAUUGUGAUUGGUCAUCCUAUAUGUUAGUUCCGGUAAAUUAAGUAUCAUUUGUCCAAGUAUCAUUAAUAUUAAAUAUUUUAUUAAAAUCUAGAAUAGAAUACAAUCUCUUUAUAAGCUAUAGUCUUGUGAUUUAUUUGAACUAUUUAAAUAGGUGAUCAUUAAAGAAAGUCUUAAGUACUCUUUCUCAAGUUACUUGCAAAUUUUCUAUAAAAAAUAUUGCUUGAAUAAGUGAAUAAAGAAAUUACUCAUUUAAGUAUUCCCCCUGACUGUAUUAGUGGCAAAAUGAAGUUUUGAUUGGUGUUAUUUGAGUAUUAAAAAGUUCUUGUCUUCAAAAUUCCAAUAGGGAACAUACCUUUUAUAAUUGUAUAAAUAAACCAAUUGUUCAGACGUUUCGGCCAUUGGCCUUCUUCAGUUAUUUAUUAUUCCUCUAAACUACAUGGCUGACAUUUCUUUUUUCAGACAUUGAAAAGAUGUUAUAGAUAAAAAGUUAUUAUUUCUCUUUGCCACCAUGUUGAGGGUCAAUUUUCUCAAAUUCUUUCUUAAAUAAACCAAGUUCAACAUGUUAUGCUGGUCAUUUGAAUUGACUAGAAAAAAAGUUUGUUUUUUUACAAAUUUUCAUUUGUCUUUAAGUGUUGAAUUGUAUCAAAGUAUAACAAGAUCUAAUAUUUAUAGGAUCUCCUAUCAGAUUUGCUUGAAACAAGUUUGGUUAGUUCAUGUACAUGUACAUGAAGUCAUUUAGGAAAAUACCCAAGUUAUUGAAGUUAAUUAUAAUGGGGCAGAGGUAUAAUAAUAUAUCAAACUCAACUUAAAUAUUCAAAAUUGUGACAAAUUUUUUGUUGUUGUAGAUAAACUAUUGCUUCACCAGAUGAAGAUGUAAACAAUGCCUGCAGGUCAUUAUGACCCUCAGACUUCUUACAAUGGUGAUGAUUCUGCAGCUAGCAUUCUAAAAACAGUACAAGCACAGGUAAGUACUAUUAUUAUACCUUACAUAUAUUACAAACAAUUCUAUUGGAUAACAACUUAUCACGUGACAUGGAAUAAUUCGGUUAAUUUUCAUGUAAUUGCAUGGGAGGACGAAUAACCCUUAAAAUUUACACCAACGGUGAAUAACCCUAUUAUUCACCGGCGAAUAACCUUUUUAGUGUCUAGAUUUGCACUCGAGUUACCUCCCAUGCAAAUGACGUCACAGACGUAAAUAAACAAGAUGGCAGCGUUCACGUUACACUGACAGCCCAUCGAGAGACGAGGAAAUAAGGCUUUGGAAAUGAAUAGAGUGCCAGCAGCCGAUGUUAUCUCCUCUAAAUGGUCCUUUUCAGGGCCAUUAAUAUUUUACGAAAAGAUUCUACCUUUGUUGUACAUCCGAGAAAUUCUAGAACACAAACAUGACAAAUAUAUUUUCCUGAGCUAUUUUCAAACGUCAGCUUGUGUUUGUUAUGUAAAAAAUAUAGUGUUCAAAAUGCCCUUCCACUGUUUAUUCGGUAUAAUAAAACAAUUGUGGCCCCAUAGAAUCGAUGAAUAUCCAAAAUUGUCAACCCUUAAAAGUUAUUUCACUUCGGGCUGCGCCCUCAUUGAAAUAACCUUCUCGUGUUGACAAUUUUGGAUAUUCACCUUUUCAACGGGCCAUAAUUGUAUAAUCUACACAUAUAUUGACCUAUGAUGGAUAUUGGAAGAUGUGGUAUGAAUGCCAAUGAGACAGCUCUGAUGGUUUACUUUUACAAUUUGUGACUUGGACAAAAUGGUGGAUGGACAGUUGUCUCAUUGGCACUCAUACAACAUUUUAUAUCUGUAUACAUGAUAGAACAGAUGAAAUAAUUGAAAAAGGAUAAUAAAUGUUAGGAUUACCCAUGCAUUAACCUUUGUACAAAUGUGUAACAUAACUGAAGAACAUUGGACAGUUUUGUUACAACGUUAACACUAUAAGCACCAACUGUAAUAUUAGUUGGUAAGGGCUUUAAAAAAUCAUCUGCAAGAAUAUACAUUGAUGAAAAUUUAGAAAUGGAGGAACUUUGACCAGGACAUGUACAAAACACUGCAUUUAUGACUAAAAUAAUUGUUUCCUCCAUUUUUUUGUAAGGCCAAAUAAAGAUGUGGGUCGGUAAGUAGACAUUUUUUUUUGUGACCCCUCCAUAGCAGUGGGGGCAUUAAGUUUUAUCCAUGUCCAACUGUACGUGUCGACAUCCCAACUAUUUUGUUUGUUCUUUAACUUGGAUCAAAACACAGUUAAAGUCUGAAUUUGGGUGGUGUCACUUACCAUUCUAGAAUAAUUCACCUUUACAUUCUCUGACUUGUUUGACUGGAUUGCCUCAACUAAAUGUGUGAAUCUUAAACAGUGCUUAUAUGUUUACAACAAUACAAAGAUCAAGUUUGAAUCUGCUGGGGUCAUUUUUAACAUUCUAGAGUUAUGCCCCUUUACAAAUGGAAAACUUUCUUAUUUUGUUUCCAUUCUCUGUGAGUUUCCACUGGUAAUGAUCAUGAAGAUUCCAUUUUGGCAGUCAAGAUCAUUGCAUUUAAGUUACAUAUUUCAAAGUCUGACUUAUGGCCAAGUUAUGGGACACAGAUGAUGCCCACCCUGGGAUACAACCCUAUACAGAACUUGAACCUACGAUAGUGAGGGGCAUUAUGUUUUCUAGUCUGUCCGUCUAUUCGUCUAUGUUCGUCCAACUUCAGGUUAAAGUUUUUGGUCAAGGUAGUUUUUGAUGAAGUUGAAGUCCAAUCAACUUGAAACUUAGUACACAUGUACCCUAUGAUAUGAUCUUUCUAAUUUGGAUGCCAAAUAACAGUUUUGACACCAAUUUCAUGGUCCACUGAACAUAGAAAAUGAUAGUGCAAGUUUCAGGUUAAAGUUUUUGGUCAAGGUAGUUUUGGAUGAAGUUGAAGUCCAAUCAAAUUGAAACUUAGUAUACAUGUUCCCUAUAAUAUGAACUUUCUAAUUUUAAUGCCAAAUAACAGUUUUCACCCCAAUUUCAUGGUCCACUAAACAUAGAAAAUGAUAGUGUGAGUGGGGCAUCCGUGUACUAUGGACACGUUCUUGUUUUUACAUAUCUCAGUAUACAUAGUUUUAGCCUGAUAACAUUUGGUUUACAUCACUUUAGGGUACACAUGUAUGUUACAAUAUAUAUCAUGCAUAUUUUAACCUUAAAAGUGAAGUAUUGAAUUUGCAGUAAAUUAAUAUUCAUGUUUAAAGUAUGUAUUAAUAAUUGCAUUUUAUUAUGCCCCAUAUACAUGUAUGUGCAUUAUGUUUUCUGGUCGAGGUAGUUUUUGAUGAAGUUGAAGUCCAAUCAACUAGAAACUUAGUAAUCAUAUUCCCUGAUAUGAUCUUUCUAAUUUUCAGGCCAUAUUAGAGAUUUUCCCCUUUUUUCUCGGUCCACUGAUGAACAUUGAAAAUGAUAGUGCGGUUGGGGGCAUCCAUGUACUUUGAACACAUUCUUGUUUAUUUUAUAAUAUUUCAUGAUUUGACAACAUGAAAUAAUUAUAAAUAAUUGCCAAAUAAAAGUAAAAGUAUAUACAUGUUUCCUACUUUUAUAUGUCACACUUGUGAAAAGCGUAUCUUCAAUUUUUUUAAAGGUUCAGUUGGUGGUACAAUGAUCUACAGUGUAUAUUGAGAAAACUGCAGGUUCCUCAUCAACAUGUUAUUGGGGUAAAAAAUGAUGUGUUAAAAAUCCUAAUUUCCUUGAUAAUUAGAAACUGUUACAAGUUUAUACAAUCAGUGGUUUUCCUAUUGUGUUGAGGAAGGGGCCCAGGUUCAUAUUCAUGUAGAUAUUAAGAAUCGUUUAAAAUGAUUUUCAAUGUGCAAUGGCACCGAUAAAUAGAAACAGCUUCUUGCUCUAUUAUUAACAUCAAUUUGUCAUAUGAAUGGUGACAUACAUGUAUAAGAAGACCAGAAUAAUAUUGGUUUCACAAAUAAAUCAAAAUUACUUUUUCAAAUGCAGUACAGACCUUUGACAGAUACAUGUUGUACCUCAUUCUAAAUUCAGUGUGUUUUUUCAAUUCAAUAUCAUGUGACUUCCUAAAGAAUUAACAUUAUGAAAAAAAAUCAUGACUAAUUUAUGACACUGUCAGUGUCACCUAAAUUGUUUGGUUGACUGAUUAAGAACAAAGGUUUAUAAUUUAUUACAAAAUUCAGCAUGUAAAUUUGAAAAUGUAAGCAUGGAAUAUGUACAUGAUUUUACAAAAAAAAAAAAAAAAAAAUAUCUUAGUAUUUGAGAAAUGUAAAAAUAUUGUAUAUAUUAUAUACAUAUAUGCAUCAUUUAUCUGUCAUAUCAGUAAUUAAAUCUACAGAUACAUGUAUAACAUGUACAAUGUAUUUCUAAAGAAAAUAUGCUUUUAAGUGACAAAUACAGUUCACUCAUGUUCACAUGUUAGCCUCUGGUUGAAAACUUUAUUUGUGAAAUGUAAAAACUAUAUCAGUAUACAUAUACAUUUAACAAUUAAAAUGUGUUUUCUUAAGCAGAUACUGUAAUUGAACUUAUUUUCGCGGUGUAUUUAUUUUCACGAAUUUCGCGCUUGGUUUAUUAUCGCGAAAAUAAAUACACACGAAUCUAAAUCAAACCUUUCAACUGAAAGGCAAUAAUUAUAAAAUUGCGAAAAAUAAAUAGCCGCGAACGUUUUUGAAAUACACAAUUUGCGAAAAGAAGUACCCGCGAAAAAAAGUACAAGUACAGUACAUUGUAUGCCUUAAAGUGUCAACUUCUGGUUUAAAUUUUCAUUAAUAGGUGCAGUUGUAUAAACUACAUACAUAUAAUUUAUAAAAUGUAAUUCUAAAUUAGAUCUGCUUUUAAAAACUUAAAAGUGUCAGAUACAAUGUACUAAGUGUGCAUGUCAGCCUCUUGUUUAAAUUUCAAUUAAUUGGUGCAGUUGUACAUAUACAACCCAUAAAUAACAUAUAUUUUUAAAUUCCAUUUUCUUUUUAGUGCCAGUCACUAGAUUCCCAUGUUAGUGUCUUUUUUAAUCUCCAUUAAUUGAUGCAGUUGUAUAAACUAUUAAAUUUCAUUCCAGUUGCUUUGUGGGUACAUGUAUUUUCUCACGCUGUAAUAUGAUUUCAAUAAUUUAUUAUUAAAACGAACACAAACAAAGUGUAGGAAAUGAUGUAAGCUAAUAAAUAGUGGAAUAGUCACUGACAUUCCAAUCAUUAUGUAUUUAUAACACCUGAAUGAGCACGCUCAGUGAGUCAGUUAGGAAAAGGGUUUUACCUGUAAACAUUGCUUUUACCUGUCAGGUGUAAAUUAAAAAAUCAAAUAAAUUUGAUAUAAAUUCAGUAAUAUUUAAAUCAAAUUAAACUUGUAUCGGAACAUUAAAAUUUUAUAGGUGUAAAAACAUUUAUAUAUGUUUAUCUUGACAAACAAAUAUAACAUCCUGAUAAAAAUUUUCCUUUUUUGAACCCUUAUCAAAGGAUUGAAAAAAUGACAACACACAUUUGAAUACACAAUACCUUGAACUCCCACAAAUAUUUGUGAACUCAAACACCCAGACACAUUCUCAUCAUUGUCCUUUUGUCUAGGUCGUUGUAACAUGUAAAAAAUGUAAAUGUACAAAAUGUACCUGUAAAUAAAUCAGUGCAUAUAUUGGGGCAUUAUUGGAACGUAAUUAAACCAUUUUAUUGAUGUACAAUAAUAUAUACAUUGAUUCAUUGUUGUAUGACAGUGCAUGUAUAAUGUGAAUUAGGGAGUUAUUAUUCAUGUAAUCUUUUGUGGAAAAAAUAUAUCUAAAGAUAUUCAGAGACAGUUACAUGUAGUAAGAAAACAGGAUUUAUCGGAUAGUAUGAUAUUUGUGUAAACAAGUUUGAUCUAUAUAUAAUAUAUAUAUGAUAUGAAUUGAAAUAUUUGGAUAUGCAUAUAUUCUACAAAUUGUGACUUGGAUGAUUUGUCUCAUAGGCACUCAUACCCCAUCUUCUUAUAUCUAUUUAUUUCAUUUGUGGAUUUAAAGUAAUUAACCAGUGUUUGUGCUAUAGUAUAGAUGCCAGUGGAUUAACAUUCAAGUUAAGGAUUAUCAUUUUUUUUAGGAAGCAGAAUUUGAAAGAUUAACCAGAAAAUUAGAAGCCGAAAGAGAAACUGUAGGACAUAAGUUUAGGGAGGUGAGUGAAGGAAAGAUCACAAGAAUAGUGCUUGUUUUUUGCUGUUUAUUAGACCCUUCUACAACAAAUUUUGUUUUACAUGCACACGUAUAAAAAUUGCGAUAUUUAUCCAACACAAUCAUAGGUUUGAACGCAGUUUUCAAUUUAGACUUGUUUAUAUAUACUGUAUAUCAUAUUUUUUUCAUUCAUUAUUUUGCACUUAAAUCAAGCUGUUAGUUUUCGCAAUUGAAUUGUUUUGAAAUCUUUAUUGGGGGCCUUAGGUAGCCAACUAUGUGGUAUGGCUUUUACCUAUUGUUGAAGGCCGUACGGUGACCUAUAGUUGUUGAUUUUUGUGUCACUUUUGUCUCUUGUGGUGAGUUGUCUCAUUUGCAAUCGUACCACAUCUUCGUAUUUUGAUACAUAUUUAUAGAGAUAGACUAGUAUGGAACACUUCGCUUUAUUAUAUUUUCAACUCCUUUCGGAUUGUCUUCUCUUGUUGUCUGAUGAUUUCCAUCAAUUACAAUUCACUGUUCUCCCAAGGGGCUUUUAACAUUAUUGUAAGGUGAUGUAAUCUAAAACUAUUUCUUUAUCAUGUUUAUAGAUUGUGUUUAAGAUUUGAUACGACAAUUUUCAAAAUGUUAUUUCAAAAUACGCUGUAAAGCCAAUGAAAGCAGAAUACAGUCACUGGAAGGAUUUCAUCAUGUUCAUAUAGAAAUGGAAUGAAUGGCACAAGAAAUGGAAGAUGAUCUAUAAAAAGGAGUUUUAAAAGGGUUCUUUUUAAGUACACAUAAAUACCAGGGGUUACAGACUGCUUGUUUAGCCUUAAGAAUUUUAUCUGUAUUUACAAAAAAAUGUAUGUCGGUCAUAUCAAUACCUCAUUGAGUCUAUUUUCCUCCAAAAUAAUAUUCUUAUUGAAAGCUAAGAUUUUGGUGAACAUGAUAAGGUUCGAACUUCUCCUGAAAAAUAGAAGUUGAUAUCAAGCAUAUUAGCAUAUUCUUUCAGUAUACAGUAUACAUGAUGUACAUGGUUAAAAUAAAUGAUAAAUAUGAUUUAAUAAUCAUCAAACAUUUUCGUCAAAUGAAAACUUCCAGAUGACCAAACUUUUAAUUGAACUUUUUAUUUCUAAAAUGCCUUUGUUUACACAAUGAACAGAAGAAAUGUGGAAUAUGAGGAUAAAGUAUACUUAUUAACACGACCCAAUUACUAAGAGGUACAUACAUGUACCAGGAAAUAACAUACCAUAUGUUUUAUCUGACAGUGCAGUAUUUGGCAUAUCUAUAAAUAAAGAAUACAAACAAUCUCUGAUUUGAAGUAAUUAUGCUUUUUACUUCAUGUACUUUGAACUCCUUGUCCUAAUUGUAAUUUGUACAUUUCUUUCAUUUAAAGAAAUAGGUAAUUCUAAUGGAAACCUCUAAAAAGAGUGCUCUUUGUGAGACAGACAACUUUCUACUUUUCUUGUCUUUUUAUUUUGUUGUUGUAAAUAUGCACUCUUAGAAAAAAAACGACACUCCAUUAUAAAACAAUCAUUGAAGUAAGACAACAUUAUAGCACCAUGACGGAUCAUACAGCAUUAAUUUAACUUAAUAAAUAACAUUUUCAUGAAGCCAUUUUUUAUGAAGUUUCAUAAGAAUUUAUGAUUAAAAGCAGGAUAUAAUAAAUUGAACGAGAAACUUAUUAUUUUCUAAAACUAAAAUGAAUUUUCUGAUAUCAAAGAUUGCAUUGCAGUAUUUAUUUAUGACUUUUAAAGUAUUACACUGUAUAAGUUGAAAAGCAAGCAUGAUAAGUUUAUGUUAAGAUUGUUAUGUAUAAAUACAAUUACUAAGUAAAAAGAAUAACUUGACGUAUAUCAUGUAUAUUUUUAUACAUUAGCCUAAAAAAUGUAUCAAUUGAAUUACUUGGUAUACCAGAUAUUCACUGGCUUGUAGACCACUUUCAAAAUGAAGACUUAUAUUGACUCCACACAGGAUGUUUUGUAUGGCUUGAUUUAUAUGGGUAUCUAUCAGGUAUUUUAAAGGUGGACCUAAAAAUGUUGUAUAAUCGGUUUUAGGAAUGCAUUUGAUUAUUUUUUUGGGCAUAUACAUGUAGUUAUUUUCACCUAUCACUGAUAUUAGUCCUAAACAAAAUUUAAAUACACACUCAACAGCCAAAAAUUUCAAUUCUGUGUCCACAAGUUGUAAUUUAUCAAUGUUUCUGGUUAUAAAACAAUGUGUUUUUCCUACCUGAAUACUUUUGCAAUGUGUAAGCACUUUAAAGAUUAAUCUUGACUUUAUAUUAAAACAUGAUUUAUUCACUUUCAUCAAAUUAUAAAGACACAAAGGUUUCAAAAAUAAACUUGGUUUUAGUUACCAAGAUAUUUGAGUAAUUUAAAUUUUUCCUUUAUAUUCAUUUCCCUGUUUAGAUAAUUACUCGUCUGAAAAUAGCCAAAGUUUUCUUUUUGUUAAAAACAUGCAUUUCAUGUUCUCUGUUUACAGUUGAAUGAUAUCAACUCUCAAAAGACAUUUGAUAAAUUAAAUCGCUACUGUCUGGGUCAGCUAGAGGUAAAAUUUAUUACAUGUAUAAAUUACAAUUGUACCGAAAAUGAUUUCAUGUCAUUAAUUGAUAGCUAAGUAGAUGAAAGUAAAACUAAUAAACAGGUGUUAAAUGGCUAACAAUACCUGAUUGUACUUGGCUUUAAUAUGCUGAGGUUCAUAUAUUUAGCAAGCUAAUUAGCAAGUUACUUGUGUGGUCAUAUAGGUUUGUACUAAGACCUAUGAUUGAAUUUGGGCAAAUAUUUAUGUUUUGAAAUUGACAUUUCCUAUUAAAUCUGAAAGUAUAAGGUCUUUGUGAUAUCACAUUUUCUCCUAUAUGUAUACAAACUGAAACAUUAGAUUGCUUUCAUUAGAUGAAUAUGAUAUUAGAUUUCCGAGAACUUAUCACGUUAGCCAAUGAUUAAUUAAGGUUUUGGACCUGAUUGGGUUUUAAUCUAUCUUCAUUGUUUAAUGGGUACACAAACAGUAUAAAUGAAUUCUAAUAUUUUAAAAAUUAAUAAAAUGAGAGAAAAGGAAGAUCUUUGUUACUUAAAAACGUAGCCUGUUGUUAACUUCUAGGUCAUUCAUGUCUUCUGGUCUCUUGUGGAGAGUUGUUUCUCCAGCAAUCAUACCACAUAUCCUAAUUUAUAUGCUGUGACAUUUUCAGGAAAAACUAAAUCAAAACAUAAUUUUGCUGGGGUAUACAUUGUAAGGUACUUGCAUUACAUAGUUAAAAUAGAAUUUUGGAUUGCAUUGAGGACAUGAUCUGAAUAUCAAUGUCUGUACAUAUUAUAUGUGUACAUUUGAUGCCUGACAAUAUAAGUACAUAUGAAUUUCAAAAAGCUUGUACAUUUAUUUGUACUCUGCAUGUUGUAUAUGUACAAUAUUAGAAUUGGGUUAAGCUUGUUAUGGAUAGUUUAUAACUUGUUUGCUUCUCCCAGAAUUCCAUUUAUUUGUUUUGGUGUUUGAACUAGUUUUUACCUGUAUAAGCAUCCGAUUUUACAAUAGAACCUUUAUAGUCAAACCUGCUAUAUAUAAAGGUCUUGUGUAUUUACUGAAAAUGUCAGGUCAUCCUCAUUUGGAAUUGUCCCACUGUAUUGAUACCAAUUCAUAUUGAACUACCUUUCAAAAGAUCCCAUCUCAUAUGAUGGGUGACCUUUAUACCAGGUUUGACUGUAGUUCACACAUAGCCAAAUUUCUGUUAGGUAUUUAGUUACCCUUUUUAGUUUUGCAUGGAUCUCUAGCAGUCUUUGGUUUUAUAUCAUUGCAGUACAGGGUGGGAAGUCAGGCCGAUAGUAUGAAUAGCAUCAAUAGCGCAGAUGAUUCUUAUUGGCGUAGUCCUCAUUCUGACUCACGACUCCAUGAUGAUACUGUGGGGGACUCUAAAAUGAGCUCACACCUCCUUGACUCCUGCCUGUAAGUAUUUUUGGUAACGGGUAGGUUUUAAUGUUAGGAUGGUGAGGUAUCUGUAUUUGAAUUUCAUCAGGCAAUGAAUAUAUCUAACCAAACUGGUCUCUAAGAUUCUGAUCUCACUGAUUUCUAAAAGCAAAUUGUUUUUUUUUUUUCAUUCAAUCAACAUUUGCCAAUACAUUUAGAAAGAUUGUUGACAAAUGAUUAAAAGAUAUAAAUAAACAUGAUAAACAUGACCUUCUGAUGUUGUUUUUUCUAUGGUCGGGUUGUUGUCUCUUUGACACAUUCCCCAUUUCCAUUCUCAAUUUUAUGAUUUUUUUUUUGGGGGGGGGGGGGGGGUUAUUUUAGGAUGUAGAAUAAAUCCCAUUGCUUUACUUUGCCACAAUUUAAUGGUAGUGCCUGAAAUUUAAACAGGGGUUUGCAUAAGUACUGCUCAUUCCUAACCUUUGUUUAGUUGCAUUAAUUGUUGUAGAGCUUCAAUUUUAUAGGACAUCUUUCUGACAUAUAUGUUUUUGCAUGAUUAGUCAUUUAUGCAUUUAAGUCUGAAUCUUGAACAUGAUAAUGUACAUGUAUCAAUAACCAUAAACAUUAUCCUUGUACAUAUACAUGUAGGCCUGAAAUAAUAUGUAUAUAUACUAAGUACUCAUUCUUAUUCCUGAGGUUUGGCUAUUGUGGAUUUCAUGGUAAAAUGUGAAUUCAGGAAUAACAUAAAAAUAUUCUUAUAGGCUUUCAUAUCAUUGAAAUCAUGAUCAUGAAGUUGAAGGGCAUUCACAUGUACAAUUUUUUCUCCUUUUAUAAAAUUGUUACCCAGAAAAAUUAUAAAAUAUUUUUGUUUGGAUACAAUUGUUUAUCAUAUCCCUUUGUAUCUUGUUUGGGGCCUCUGUGGUCGAUGUGUCUAAGUAGUUACUACUGUAAUCAAUAGCCAGUCAUCAUUGAGGUUGUGAGGUCAAACCCCUGCUUGUGCCGGUGCACUCAACCCAAAUCUCAAUAGACUAGGAAUGCCAGUUUUCCUUUUGAAGGUCAUGGUUUUCUACGAGCACUCUGGCUUCCUCCACCAAUAAAAACAAACUGGCCGCUAAGAAAUUGCCGAAAAGCAGUGCUUAAAAGAUGUGUUAAAACACAAAAAAUCAAAUCAUCAACAUCAGUCAGGAAGGGUUAUUUUCAUCAAAUUCAUGUAUUUCUUCUGUUUCCAUUACAUUCCAAAUAUGUGUUUUAAAAACUUACUGUUAACAAGCCCUAGGGACAAAAGGAAGACAGCUUUGAAAGUAUCAGUGCUAAAUACAUUAGGGUAACAUUUUUAUUUGCCCAUGUCUCCCUUUAUUAGUUUAUUUUAUUCUGUGCCAUGAAUUUUCGAAAGAUUGGGAAGGCUGCCAAAUGGCUAUUUUGUUUUUUUGUCUUAUCAGUUGAAUUAUUUUAAAAAAGCACUGAUAGUGCCCACUAUAUCAAACAUCUAUACUUUGUAUGCAUAUGUAAGUCAUUGUGGUUUGGCAUUCCAUUUAUAUUCAGAGUCUUAAAGUAUUCAAACAUUUCAUUUUCGAAAAAUAGAUACCUUACAAGGGGAUUUACCGGUAGGUCAAACUGUUGUGAUUAAAUUUAGUCACUGUUCAAGUGUCCACCAGAGUUAAUUGAUCUCUAGCUCAUUGAUCAAAGAUCUUUUAAACUUUGCUACUUUUAAAAUGUUCAGGACAUUCCAAUACAGCUGUGUAUACAAUGAAGAUAAAAAUACCGUGGCCAUCAGAGCAUAUCCUUCACUGUUCUGAAGUUGUUUAAAUUUCAAUUAUGUGACACAUGUAAAUAAAGAUAAAAGAUUGGUUACGCAAAAAUUAAAUAUUUUCAGACUAAAAUAAGCUUUGGCAUAAUAUGUGGUAUUAUGUGGUUAAAAAAUUAAUUACUUUAUGUGAUAUUUUAUUAGAUUAAAAUAUUGGAAUUUGUUGGGCUUGGGUUUAUUUUAUAUACAUGUAGUACUUGUAGUCUUUAUUUACAUUAAAUAAGUGGAUUGGUUUUAAAAUAAUAAGCAUAACUUAGUCAAUAUUUUUCGUGUAUCCUUUAUCGUAUAAUUAGCAUGUCAUUCUGCAAGGUACCUGUAUAUGUAAAUAUUUCAUCUUGUACAUUGAUAGUUCAAUGUUAUGACCAAGGAAGUAAUAAAACAAAUAAACAGAAAUUAAAGGACACUUUAGACCCGAGUAGUAGAAAACGCAACAAUUGUUGUACAAAUGCAGAGUUCUACAAAAAUGAUGGUCCGAAGUUUUUGACCACCAAAUUUUGCAAAGGACUGACACGAUUUAUUGUGUUUUGCAAUAAAAACAAUGGUUAAAGGACUAGCAGAUUUUUGUAAAGAACUACCAAUGAAAAGAUUUUGAGAAUUCUGCUGAUGCAUUUGCAAUAUCCAUCGCCAUCAAAAUAUAUUUACCGAAAUAUAAAAAAGAAUUUACAAUUGAAAUCCAAUCAAAGAAGUUGUUUUUCUGUGUUAUGUAUUAGUAAGAAUUUGAGUUUGUUAUUGGCACCAACUUGGAAAAAUAUUUAAGUUUUAAAGUAUUCCUUCCAGCUAUCUGAUGACAUCCAACAAUAAUAUUUAUAUAUGGUUAUAAAAUCAUUAGAAUGUACAUGUAUCUUGUGGAAGUUGUGUAUAUAAAUGAUCUCCCAAAAUAUCUAAUACCUGUAGCACUGUUUCCCUUAUAUAUAGCACAGCAUUUAUAUAUGUUUUGAUUUAAAAUCUAUUCCAAAAGCAGCUUGAGAAAACUGAAUAUCUGUGAUAUUGGAAGUUUUAGUUUAAUUGAUGGAUACAUUAAAAUUUUGAAGCUUUAAAAUAUAAAUUUUUAUUAAUAUUUCAAGAAAAUUUCAUUUAAACUGUCCAAUUUUAUGCCCCUACACAAGGCAAAAGGGACACUAACUAUUACCUUUUCCCAGUCAGUCUGUCAAAAAAGAAUUUCCCCAUAUUUUAGCAAGCUUUAGAAGGGUCAUUCAGUCCUCAGGCACCAUCUUCUUUGAUUUAUUGAAAUGUUUCAAAUCACAUAUAGCCAUUUCUUACCAUUGCUUGCAGUGCAAAUAUUUUUGUUUGAAAAAAUUGAAACUCUAGUGGAUAUAAGUUAAUUGAAGUAAACAUGGUAAAUAUGGUUCGUAGCUUUUGAUAUAAAUAUUGGGGACUUUAUAAAUUACAAACAUAAACUCAACCAAAAUGUAAAUUUUUUUGUAGAUAAUAUAAGAUGACUUAUACAAGUUUGAUCAAAAGUAUGAAAUUUGAUAACUCUAUAGACCCUGAGUAUUAUAUUGUGUGUUUGUUAUAAAAGUGGCAUUAACGCUUUAUGUUAUACUUAUUUUUUUGUUACUCAAAUAAAUGCCUAUUCAUGUUUAAAAAUUUUAGGAUUGAAAAUUGCAUUAAAAAUAUGUACUUCCCUUUGUUAAGAGAUAUAUAUGUCGAGGAGUCUGCACAAAAGAGAACACUAGGUAUACAUUUAGGGUAUAUUAUUGUUUACUGUUCUCGUGAGAAGAGCUUUAAACCUUUUAAAUUCAGGGAUAAUUAUGUUAUUGGCAAAGAAAGAAAACUUGAAUUUAAAACAGGAUUAAAUUACUAGGUCAUAGUAAAUAGUAAGUUGUCCAGGACAUUAAUGUCACAGUUGUAACACUCCUACGGGCAUGUAAGCUUCUUAUUGUCAGUGGUUUGUAGGCCUUUCAGUCUGCGGGUACACGUUCCCACUUCUUCCAUCACAUAUCAUGCAUAAUGCACUGUAUCAACUAUGUCAUGUUCGUGAUACAUACUUUGUAUUCUUUGUUCCUUUGAUUAAAAAGAGGAAAUAAAGUUUAUUAUUUUUUUGGAACUUCUAACUUGCAUGUCAAGUCACAUGGGUUCAUCAAAAGAUUCAGUUGUUUCCACCUGUGUAUUUGUCAAAGAAAAACAUCUAUGUAAUAAGGAUUCAUUACAUGAUUACCACCAAGUAUUUAAACUUGUAUACAACAUAGUUUUAGAUUCUUUUUUCUUUAUUUUUAGGAGAGAGCUUGAUAACAGGGGCACAUUUGGGUAUGUUUAUUAUAUAAAAUAAAGUAAUAUACUGCCAUGAAAGUAGUCUCAAGUUGAAUAAUAAUAAACUUUGAUCAGAGGUCAAAAGUGUUUUACCAAUAAAAAGUUCAGUUAUUUAGUUCUUAUAUAUCAUAUGCAUGUAUAUCAUUUAAAGAUAUAAAAAAUGUCAAAAACUUAAUUUAAGGACUGAAUUUGAUGAAACGUUUAUUACUUGACUCAUAAAGUAUACAUAUAUGAUUCAAGCCAACUUCAGUUGAUAAGAUAAUUUGUAAAUGAACAGGGAUGUUCAUUAUUAUAUCAUAAGACAAAGAAACAAAAUAUUCACAUACAAUUUUAUCAUUUAGAAAUACCACAUACGAUCGAAUAAUUGAAAAGACAACAUGCAAUUAGUAAUAUCUUUGCUUAAGUUAUACAUAUGGUCAAACCAAUUGUUUAAAACAAAAGUUUCUUGUCUCUUCUUUUAAUAUUUUUAUAGUCCUGCCACAUAAGAAUAAUUUUGUUGAUAUUUGCAGAGACAACAACAUGGAUUACGUGGAGGACCCCUACAGUGGUGGAGGGAGACAAUUGUACAAUGAUUCCUACAAUCAGGGUUACGACCCACAUUACAUGGACCAAAGGUCACCUCACGCAUCUCAUACAUCAUUACAGAGUAACGACAGAAACAGAAUGGUAAGGACGCUGGUGUAAAAACAUACUCCCAAGAUAACCUCAUUUAUAUGAAACAAUUUGAGACAGACGCAAAAUGGUUAGGACCCACAUGCACUAAUCCUCUACUAAAAUAAAGGGUAGUCACCAAAAAUAUACCAACUCAUCUAUUGUUGUAAUCAAUAAAUAACAUAUACUCUUCCUAAUAUGCAUGUUAGCCAAGGCUCCGUGUUGAAGACUUUGACCUACAAUGGUUUACUUUUACAAAUUGUGACUUGGAUGGAGAGUUGUCUCAUUGGCACUCAUACCACAUCUUCGUAUAUCUAUUUAAUAUUUGCCACUGAAUACUAAAACACCAAUCCACCAUUAUCACCAUCAAUAUAUUGCAUAUACAGUCACUAUUUAAGGGAGGCUAAAAUAAAAUUUAAGUCCUCACAGUCACAUAUUUUAUUUGUUCAUUUAUUUAAGUCUGUUACUUUUAACUUGACAAACUCUAGACACCAUUCUCAGUGGUGGUACAAAUAACCUAGAUAAGGGGUUACCUGUCCUGUCUAUAAGGGUCAACUUCAACAAGAUUUAAGACAGUAACAGACUCUUAUUAGGUACUUAAAGAUUAGAUAAAUGAUUGACAUUUACAUGUACAAAAACAUUAAAUUGUGUAUUAUGAUUGAUUUCCUUCUAAAUGUUUUAUUUCUAGACUUUAAACAUUACUGGCAUUUAAAAGUGAUGACCAUGUUAAACCAAAUUUAAAAGAAAUGCAAAGAAACCAACAUUUUGCACUUAUUUAAAAGUUAUUUAAAAGAUUCAAAAUUAAAUUUUCACUUGAUAAGACAAGAUAUUAUAGCAUCAUUGUAUCCUUGACAUAAAUUAAAAAAAUCAUAAAUUGAUUGAUAUCGUAUUUGUAUUAACAAGGACUUCAAAAAAAAUAACUUGUAUGAAAUGGCUGGAUGUUAAAAAUAUUUGUGUAAUGUACAGAUUGUUAAUCUUCUUUGGAUAAUAAUAAUAAAAAUGUGAUUGACAUUAACUAUGGGCACUAAUCUUUUUCUUCUUUUUAGGCACAGAGAGAAAACCACCCUAAUGACAACUACACAUCAUACUCCUCAUUAGCUAGACAGCCAGGGUAUGACGAUAUGAGAGGAUCCCCGGGAACACCCACAAGGUUGAACCAACAGCAAUAUGCUAGCGAUUAUUAUAACGAUAACUCACCUCGCUACAGUUUGGCCUCUAACGAUAGCUUCCAGCGACCUCAGCAGCAGUAUCAUUAUGAUCCUAGGUAGAUGGGUUAUAGAGCAUGCUCAGUUAAGCUCUAGGUGUGACACAAAUGACCAGAAAUCAUUCUAUUUUGAAUUUGUACUCGAAUUAUGGAAGUUAAACUU